UGUGCGCGCGCACACUCGUGAAAACGCCGAGUGCGGCGCCGCUUCCUUGGGCGGGCCGGCGGAAGCGUUUGUCAUCCGGGCUCCCUGCGAACUGUCCAAGUGUGGACAGAACUGAGCAGCUUGGGUCAUCUGUUGCCUGCCUUUGAAAAUGCCUGAAGUCUGUAGAUGCCUUGACACAUGGAGAAAAGCACCUUUGGAGCAACUUCAAAAGCAGAGUGGGGAGCCAGUUCUCAGGAGUGCAGUAACUGUUACAAUAUUUGAGGCACCCCUCUUUGACUAGAGCAGUGAUUCUCAACCAGGGUGCUGCCAGAUCCUUUGAAGGCUGCCUGGAGGUGUGAGGAGAUAAGCAGCAAAGUGCAGGCUCAAGCUUGUCCCUGCCUGGAUGAUUCCUCAUGCCCACUGACCAACCCUUCCAGGGAGGUACUGACUUCAACUGAGUACUAAUGGAGAGGAAGACAUUUAUUAAACCCUGGAAAUAUGCACUGCUGUGGCUACAGGAAGCUUUUUCCCCCCAGUACAAUACAUAAUCAUCCAUAUUAAUAAGGUUUUUAAAUUAUUUAUGAAGUGCUAUAUUUAGUAGCUAAGCCUUUGAAUAACUAUGCAAUGGAAUUAUGUUGAGAAUGGAUGUAUUUCACUGAAAUGGAUGUAGUACAAAGAUACAGUACCUAAAAAUAACUCCAUACGAUAAAACAGAAUAAAGCUUAUACAGAAGGGCAGCAUUUCAUUUCCCUGAAGCUCUUCCUCAUAUAAAGCCAAAAAUUGAAUUCACCUAUUGCCAAUUGCACAUUAACACAUACAGUACCUUUGUAAGAAAAGCACAGCUGAUAAAGAAACUCACUUUCUC
Molecule: long non-coding RNA, 844 nt
Organism: Alligator mississippiensis (American alligator)
Lineage: Eukaryota; Metazoa; Chordata; Crocodylia; Alligatoridae
Exons: 4
Source: RefSeq, a predicted model, not a curated record